AGCGGGACGGAGGGGAGGGCCUCCUCCGCGCCAGGCGCAGCGCCCGGUCGGGCUCGGUCGGGCGACCGCGGCCAUGACGCAGGGUCCGGGCGGGCGCACGCCCCCCGCGCCCCCCGCGCCCCCGGAGCCCGAGGCGCCCACCACCUUCUGCGCGCUGCUGCCGCGCAUGCCGCAGUGGAAGUUCGCUGCCCCCGCGGGCUUCCUGGGCCGGGGCCCCGCGGCAGCGCGGGCGGCCGGGGGCGCGGGGGCCGCCGACUCCCAGCCCGAGCCGGCCGGCCCGGCCAGCGUCCCUGCGCUGGCGGCCGCGGUCCUGGGCGCCUGCGAGCCGCGCUGCGCCGCGCCCUGUCCGCUGCCGGCGCUCAGCCGCUGCCGGGCCGCCGGGGGCAGGGGCCCGCGGGGCGCGCGGGGGGCGGCCGGGCCCGCGGACGCCAGCGCCGACGAGUGGAUCCGCAAAGGCAGCUUCAUCCACAAGCCGGCGCACGGCUGGCUGCACCCAGACGCCAGGGUCCUGGGGCCCGGGGUCUCCUACAUCGUGCGGUACAUGGGCUGCAUCGAAGUCCUCCGCUCCAUGCGCUCUCUGGAUUUUAACACUCGCACCCAGGUGACCAGGGAAGCCAUCAACCGGCUCCAUGAGGCAGUGCCUGGCAUCCGGGGCUCCUGGAAGAAGAAGGCCCAGCACUGCCCUCUGCCCUGUCCCCAGGCCCCGAACAAGGCGCUAGCCUCCAUCCUGGGCAAGAGCAAUCUGCGCUUCGCUGGCAUGAGCAUCGCUGUGAGCAUCUCCACCGACGGCCUCAACCUGUCCGUGCCUGCCACGCGCCAGGUCAUUGCCAACCACCACAUGCAGUCUAUCUCCUUUGCGUCGGGAGGUGACACGGACAUGACUGAUUAUGUGGCCUACGUAGCCAAGGAUCCCAUCAACCAGAGAGCCUGCCACAUCCUGGAGUGCUGUGAGGGCCUCGCCCAGAGCAUCAUCAGCACCGUGGGCCAAGCCUUCGAGCUGCGCUUCAAACAGUACCUGCACAGCCCCCCCAGGGUGGUCCUGCCCCCGGAAAGGCUGACCAGGCCCGAGGAGUCGGCCUUGGGGGACGAGGAGGAAACGGAACACAAUUACUACAACAGCAUCCCAGGGAAGGAGCCGCCCCUGGGCGGGCUGGUGGACUCCAGGCUCGCCCUAACUCAGCCCUGUGCCGUCGGCGCCCUCGGCCAGGGCGUAUCACCUGCUCGAAGGGACACCCGCAGUCUGCCAUGGGACCUGGGCCCCUCAGGCCCACCAGGGGAUGGCUACGUGCAGGCUGAUGCACGGGGCCCCCGAGACUAUGAGGACCACCUGUACGUCAACACACAGGGUCUGGAUGCCCCAGAGCCCCUGCAGCCGGAGGACAGCCCCAAGAAGGACCUGUUCGACAUGCGACCCUUCGAGGACGCUCUGAAGCUGCACGAGUGCUCUGCGGGGGCGGGGGCGGCGGUAGCGCCCCUUCCCCUGGAGGACCAGUGGCCCAGCCCCCCCACCCGCCGGGCCCCUAUCGCCCCCACGGAGGAGCAGCUGCGGCAGGAGCCCUGGUACCAUGGCCAGAUGAGCCGAAGGGCCGCAGAGAAGCUGCUUCGAGCCGACGGGGACUUCCUGGUGCGCGACAGCGUCACCAAUCCCGGGCAGUACGUCCUCACAGGCAUGCACGCGGGGCAGCCCAAGCACCUGCUACUUGUGGACCCUGAGGGCGUGGUGCGGACGAAGGAUGUGCUCUUUGAGAGCAUCAGCCAUCUGAUCGACUACCACCUGCAGAACGGGCAACCCAUCGUGGCGGCCGAAAGCGAGCUGCAUCUGCGCGGCGUGGUCAAACGCGAGCCCUGAGCCAGCAUGUUUAGAGAUGUGCAACCAUCCUCUACCUAAUUCCAGAACAUUCUACCACCCCAAAAGGUGAUGGUUCUCAGCUCCCAGCUCCUGUCCUGCUCCGCAGAUGCCCCUGUUGUGGCCUUACGGGCUCCUCAGCCUCUCCCUCCGGACCCUGGUCAGGCUGGAACCGCCACUGUCUCUCCUUCCCCUGCAUAGGCCUCUCUCCAGCCGUCCCUGGGCGGGGUCAACAAGGCCAAGAAAUGGGGGCCCACGACCCCUUUAUCCUGCUGACGCCCUGCCUGCCUCCACCCUCUGCCUGGAGUGAGGGUGUCCAUACCAAAGACAGAACCUUUUCUCACCUCUAAAGAAAAUACAUUAAAGACAAGCAGUCCUCCAUCUCCAAGCCCUGGCCAGGGCCUUCGAUGGGUUAAGGAGGCCCACCUCUUUUCCCAGAUGAACUUCAGCCUCUCUCCCUGGAAAGAGGGAUUCCUGUCCUUGACUGGUUCAGUUUUUCCACCUGAAAAAUCAGUGCACAGUUGUCUUUUAUGGGGAAGAAUUGAGAUGCUUUGGGUCCUCAGGCCGGGGCACCUGCUGAUGUUGAAGGGGGCGGGUAGUCUUGGGGCCCAGCUGGGAUGGGGGGCAUCCAGGCAAGGCCAGCACAACCGGCUCGGCGGGGGGAGCGGUGGGUGGUUGUGGGACUCUGCCCUCCCGGCUGCCAACCUGCAUGGACAUUUGGGAUCUGCUGGUAACACGACCAUGAGGGAACGAACCCACCUGCACAUUGAGAGGCCCUCUGGCUGGAAGGCUGAGGCCAGUGUCCCAGGGGCAGAGCCAAGGCCCACGGUGUGGCCUUUCGGGGCUGGAGGAUGUGGGGACUGGAGGGGGGGGAUGGGGAAGAGGGCGUUGGGCCUGUGGGGCAGUGGUCUGCUGUCCCAGAACCCCCGGCAUCUCCCUCACACCUGUUUUUACCCCGAGAUAAAGCCUCCCCAACACCCCCGUCUUCCCCUUGGAAACAUCUGUAUUUCCUGAAUGCUGCAAACCUCUUUCAAGAUGCCCCUGCAUGUCUGGCAAAAAGUUCUUUUCCCUCCAAACUGCUCCUGACUUCCCCCCGAAUGUGGCCUGACUUCUCUCAGACCACCCCUGUUACCGGCAGAGCCCCUGCACACAGCUGUUGCUCUGCAGACCUUGCCUCACAUGAUCUCUGGGCUCUCCUUCCCAGAGACCACCAUCUCUCCCGGAACCCCUCCCCUGGCCCUCCUGGAGAGGCCUCCCUGCCAGGGCCACACCCCUGCCCAGGGUCUGGAUCUCUGGGGAGACUGAGAGAUCCGAUGAGAUUUCUCUGCAGUCAGCAGGCCACACCCCCUGCCCUGGGGGAGCCUGGUGAGGGUGAGGGGAGCAGCCCACACUCUGCUCUGUCUGUAACCAGGGGGGAAAGCCGUCAAAAAACAGCCCGAGGAGACUGACGCCGUGCCUCUUACUUUGGAGACACGGAGGCAGAGAGCCACCAGUGUGUGCACCCAACCCACGUCCACCCAUCGAUCCAGCCCUCUAUUAGGCGUUCCGUUCACUGGCCAUCCACCCCUCCCCGCCAUCCUGAUACCCUUUAGUAAGCCUGCAUUCGCCUCUUACCUGCCUGGACCUCUGGUGGAUUAACAAGGGUGCAGCAGGACCGAGACUGGUCCUUGUGGUCUGUCCUUGUGGGGUUAAGAGCCAAGUGACAUUAAUCAGCAAAUCACUGCUAAGCGUGUAAUGACAACAGUGAAAAGGAAAGAGUCCUGAACUUAGUGAUCUGUGGGAAUGACACAGGGGCUGCGAUCUGGAGGAUGAGAGUCCCAGAUGAGGAGGACAGAGUUCUAGGCAGAAGGAAUGGCACAUGCAAAGGCCCUGUGGUGUGUGUGGCUCCCAGCACAUUUAGGGACCAGAAGGAUGACCUGUGUGUGACUACAGGUGGAGCGGAGGACACAGCUUGUUCGAGGCCUCACCGCCGGGGGGUAGCAGAGCUGGGGUUCGCACCCCAUCACCUCCUCGUCCUGCUCUCUGCGCUGGAAAAGCCAGGUCUGGGGUGCACGCACAGCGACGGGAGCUGUGAGCCUAGCUCCAGCUGGGUCCCCCACACUUGUCUCUUGCGCCAUUCUACCUUCAGUUAUUCAGCAGAUGCUCCUUGCGGCAGCCUCACCCCCAGGGAGUCUUGGGGUGGGAGGCGGCCACCGUGUCAACUCAGACUGGCUGCUUCCCUUCCCUGAACUGCGUGCCCUGUGGAAUUGGGCUGCCCCCUGUGCCUCAGUUUCCUUACCUGGAAACCGGGCGUGGUGGCCCUCCCCCACAGAGAGUUAACCUCUGCCUUGUUGGGUCGGGGUCUCUCCUGGGAGCUUGCAGAUGGGCCUUCCUUUUCCAGGGGAGGAGACAGAGCUCAGAGGAGCAGCUGUUGCCACAGCUGUGUGGGUACAAGGUGGCCCUCUGGACUGGAGCUUCCUUCUUUGAGGCCCCUCCCUGUGCUUCUCCCAAGACCUGUCUGCGGUGGCUGUGGGGGGCGGCCUGUGACUCAGGCUAGCUCCUGGGAAGCACCGUGUCCCUCCUCCUUCCCAUGAGGCUAGCUCCCUGGGGGGUGGGAGUGGAAGACCAAGGCCAUCCAUCAUGCAGUGGCAUGACUCAGGUCAGGGGUGGGGGUGCUGGCCAAUAUCGCCUGGUCCCCCUCCCCAGCUUGGACUGGAAGGCUGCACCUCCCCAUUUCUGAUCCCAGGAAGGCUGCAACUUGGGGUGUGGGGGAGUCCCGGGGGGUCUGCCACGCCGGUCAGCCACAGGGCUCUGCAGAGGAGGUAGGUUUUGUCGGCUGGGAGAGGUUCUUCUGUACGGACUGCAAGCCUCACUAACCAGCAGGAAGGGCCAGCAUCCUGGCCCCCGCCCCUCCCAAGGCAGGUGUUUGGGACCUGUCCCCAGGUACCUUUUCUGUCUGGGGCUCAGUUUCCCCAGCCCCCAAAGGUGAUGGGGUGCAGGCACAGGGGUGUGGCUUCGGCUGAGCUAGCAGUGGUGGGGUUCAGGUUCUGGGGUUCCCUUCGAGGCCCGGCCAGGCCUCCCACAGCUGAGCCCCUUUUCUCACCAGGAGCAACAUCCAAGAAGUGAAGGCUGGCGCUCACAUCAGUGCUCUAGGCCCUGUUGUGAGCACCUUGCCUGUCAGCACCUGUUUGUCCUUGCUCUGUGGCUGUGGUGCAGGGACAGCUGUUAUGCUGGUGGACAGCCGAAGAGAUAGCGGCAGAGAGGUCUGGACACUUCAGGAAGUGUUGGCCUCGGGAUUCAAACCCCAGAUGAGCAUCCCCGGUUGCUUAGCACAGGAACCGGCACAGAAUAAACUCAUUGCCUCCUCCCUCAACCCAACUGGGAGUAGACCUGCCCCAGCUGGGUAGGGGUGAGGGCGGAGUGAAGCCCCCAGCACGCAGCGUGGCUUGUCGUCAGAAGACCUGAGAUGGUCACUCCACCUUAGUGGGCACCACUGUCCCUGUCUGUGCAAUGGAGAGAGGCGGCCCAUGGCCUCUGAGGUCCUCCCUCCUGCCUGCUACCAGAAAGAGUGCACUUCCAGGAGUCAUCCCUCUUACUGUGGUGCUAGUUCAUCCAUUUGUCUGCCAGGUAGUUAUUAAAGACCCCAGUGUCUUGGGGACAAGGCAGGGACAAGGCUGCCACACCCCUUCCUCCCAGCAGUUCCAGGCUGGCAGGGGCAACGGAUGUCAAACAAGUAUGCGCUCCAGGGCAUUCUUCAUGGUAGCUCAAGUUGCGGUUCAGUGGGCUCUGCCAGGCCGUGAUGCUGGCCCAGCCCAGGCUGGCAGGCAGGGCAGGCUUCCUGGAGGCAGUGGUGAAAUGAUGCAUUCAUUGGCAUCUGCCUCCCCUGUCAGACCCUGUGGUCGUGCCAGUGUUGCCCACAGCACAAAGAGGGGCCUUAAUAUUUGCUGAGAGAGAGCAAAGCUGAGACAGACCUUUGGGGGGGGGGGGGAGUCAUGGACCCUGCUGAGCCUUGCUUUUCUCAUCUGGACAAUGGAACUCCAAAGCCCACCUCACUCCAAGGUCAGGUGGAGGCAUUGGAGGGGCAGGAGUUCUGUCCGGCUCCCACCUGCCCCCCUGCACCCCCUUCUGCUGUUGAACCAGUGGUCACUCCAGACCAGCCCCAGCCGAAGCUGGGGCCACGAUGGGGCUUGGGGACAUUCUUGGAACACAGGAGGCUCUGGGACAAUCGUAAUUUAAUAAAGCCCAGGCUUUGGAUCA
Molecule: RNA transcript, 6082 nt
Organism: Neofelis nebulosa (Clouded leopard)
Lineage: Eukaryota; Metazoa; Chordata; Mammalia; Carnivora; Felidae
Gene: SHC2
Gene name: SHC adaptor protein 2
Exons: 14
Source: RefSeq, a predicted model, not a curated record